Molecule: unclassified non-coding RNA, 297 nt
Organism: Prolemur simus (greater bamboo lemur)
Lineage: Eukaryota; Metazoa; Chordata; Mammalia; Primates; Lemuridae
Rfam family: Metazoan signal recognition particle RNA
About the family: The signal recognition particle (SRP) is a universally conserved ribonucleoprotein. It is involved in the co-translational targeting of proteins to membranes.
Source: Ensembl
GCGGGUGUGGUGGCGCAUGCCUAUAGUCCCAGCUAUUUGGAAGGCUGAGGCAGGAGGAUCGCUUGAGCCCAGGAGUUCUGGGCUGUAGUGCACUAUGCCGAUCGGGUGUCCGCACUAAGUUUGGCAUCAAUAUGGUGACCUCCUUAAGCAGGGGACCACCAGCUUGCCCAAGAAGGGAUGAAUUGGCCCAGGGUGGAAACAGAGAAGGUCAAAACUUCAGCACUGAUCAGUAGUGGGAUCGAGCCUGUGAAUAGCUACUGUGCUCCAGCCUGGUCAACACAGCAAGAUCCCGUCUCU